RNAcentral lists this long non-coding RNA (271 nucleotides) under Gallus gallus (chicken). The record is from RNAcentral. Lineage: Eukaryota; Metazoa; Chordata; Aves; Galliformes; Phasianidae.
CUCAGUAUCACCAUUGGCAGAGGUGUAAUUCACCAUGUACCUAUCUAUGAGAGCCAGAACCCUGUCCCAGGAGAUGGUGACUGUGUCCUCUGUCACUUGAUCAGUCACCAGGUGAGUGGGGCUGUCAAUUUCUGUCACAGCCUCAGUGCUGGCCCUCUUGCUCUGUUGUUCUCCCUUUUCUGCCCAGAUGUGAAUAACAUACUCCAUGCCUGGCUCCAGUCCUGCCAAGGUGGUAACAUUCUUGUCUUUCUCCACUUCUCUCUCCUCUGUA